CCUACGGGAGGCAGCAGUAGGGAAUAUUGCUCAAUGGGGGAAACCCUGAAGCAGCAACGCCGCGUGGAGGAUGACGGUUUUCGGAUUGUUACCUCCUUUUGUUAGAGAAGAUAAUGACGGUAUCUAACGAAUAAGCACCGGCUAACUCCGUGCCAGCAGCCGCGGUAAUACGGAGGGUGCAAGCGUUACUCGGAAUCACUGGGCGUAAAGAGCGCGUAGGCGGGAUAGCAAGUCAGAUGUGAAAUCCUAUGGCUUAACCAUAGAACUGCAUUUGACACUGUUAUUAUAGAGUAUGGGAGAGGUAGGUGGAAUUCUUGGUGUAGGGGUAAAAUCCGUAGAGAUCAAGAGGAAUACUCAUUGCGAAGGCGACCUGCUAGAACAUAACUGACGCUGAUGCGCGAAAGCGUGGGGAGCAAACAGGAUUAGAUACCCUUGUAGUC
Molecule: ribosomal RNA, 440 nt
Filed under: uncultured bacterium
Lineage: Bacteria
Description: partial 16S ribosomal RNA
Rfam family: Bacterial small subunit ribosomal RNA
Source: RNAcentral